GAUGAACGCUGGCGGCGUGCCUAAUACAUGCAAGUCGAGCGAACGGACGAGAAGCUUGCUUCUCUGAUGUUAGCGGCGGACGGGUGAGUAACACGUGGAUAACCUACCUAUAAGACUGGGAUAACUUCGGGAAACCGGAGCUAAUACCGGAUAAUAUUUUGAACCGCAUGGUUCAAAAGUGAAAGACGGUCUUGCUGUCACCUAUAGAUGGAUCCGCGCUGCAUUAGCUAGUUGGUAAGGUAACGGCUUACCAAGGCAACGAUGCAUAGCCGACCUGAGAGGGUGAUCGGCCACACUGGAACUGAGACACGGUCCAGACUCCUACGGGAGGCAGCAGUAGGGAAUCUUCCGCAAUGGGCGAAAGCCUGACGGAGCAACGCCGCGUGAGUGAUGAAGGUCUUCGGAUCGUAAAACUCUGUUAUUAGGGAAGAACAUAUGUGUAAGUAACUGUGCACAUCUUGACGGUACCUAAUCAGAAAGCCACGGCUAACUACGUGCCAGCAGCCGCGGUAAUACGUAGGUGGCAAGCGUUAUCCGGAUUUAUUGGGCGUAAAGCGCGCGUAGGCGGUUUUUUAGUCUGAUGUGAAAGCCCACGGCUCAACCGUGGAGGGUCAUUGGAAACUGGAAAACUUGAGUGCAGAAGAGGAAAGUGGGAUUCCAUGUGUAGCGGUGAAAUGCGCAGAGAUAUGGAGGAACACCAGUGGCGAAGGCGACUUUCUGGUCUGUAACUGACGCUGAUGUGCGAAAGCGUGGGGAUCAAACAGGAUUAGAUACCCUGGUAGUCCACGCCGUAAACGAUGAGUGCUAAGUGUUAGGGGGUUUCCGCCCCUUAGUGCUGCAGCUAACGCAUUAAGCACUCCGCCUGGGGAGUACGACCGCAAGGUUGAAACUCAAAGGAAUUGACGGGGACCCGCACAAGCGGUGGAGCAUGUGGUUUAAUUCGAAGCAACGCGAAGAACCUUACCAAAUCUUGACAUCCUUUGACAACUCUAGAGAUAGAGCCUUCCCCUUCGGGGGACAAAGUGACAGGUGGUGCAUGGUUGUCGUCAGCUCGUGUCGUGAGAUGUUGGGUUAAGUCCCGCAACGAGCGCAACCCUUAAGCUUAGUUGCCAUCAUUAAGUUGGGCACUCUAAGUUGACUGCCGGUGACAAACCGGAGGAAGGUGGGGAUGACGUCAAAUCAUCAUGCCCCUUAUGAUUUGGGCUACACACGUGCUACAAUGGACAAUACAAAGGGCAGCGAAACCGCGAGGUCAAGCAAAUCCCAUAAAGUUGUUCUCAGUUCGGAUUGUAGUCUGCAACUCGACUACAUGAAGCUGGAAUCGCUAGUAAUCGUAGAUCAGCAUGCUACGGUGAAUACGUUCCCGGGUCU
RNAcentral lists this ribosomal RNA (1371 nucleotides) under uncultured bacterium. Its description in RNAcentral is "bacterial SSU rRNA". It matches the Rfam family "Bacterial small subunit ribosomal RNA", at positions 28 to 1381 of the family's 1533-position model. The record is from RNAcentral.